RNAcentral lists this ribosomal RNA (492 nucleotides) under uncultured bacterium. RNAcentral describes it as "partial 16S ribosomal RNA". It matches the Rfam family "Bacterial small subunit ribosomal RNA", at positions 29 to 507 of the family's 1533-position model. The record is from RNAcentral.
AGUGAACGCUGGCGGCGGGCCUAACACAUGCAAGUCGAACGGACACACAGUGAGCUUUCUCCUCUAACGGUGGCGGCUGGCGGGUGGGUGACGCAUGGAUCGCCUUCUUAUUUUUCGUGGAGAACUUCGUAGAGCCACUUCCAAUAAUAGCGCAUAUAUUGUACCGCUGAAUGCAGUGGAUAUUCACAGCUUUCCUGUCUCUAUGAGCUGACGCCGCAUUAGCUAGUUGGAGGGGUAAAGUCACACCAAGGCGACGAUACGUAGCUGAUCUGAGAGGAUGAUCGGCCACACUGGAACUGAGACACGGUCCAGACUCCUACGGGAGGCAGCAGUAGGGAAUAUUGGGCAAUGGGCGCAAGCCUGAUGCAGCCAUGCCGCGUGAGUGAAGAAGGCCUUCGGAUCGUAAAGCCCUGUUAUUGGGAAAGAAAAGCUGUGGAAGUAUACAUGGCUGUUUUGACGGUACCCAAUGAGAAAGCACCGGCUAACUACGUG